Molecule: unclassified non-coding RNA, 385 nt
Filed under: uncultured bacterium
Lineage: Bacteria
Description: contains 16S-23S intergenic spacer region
Source: RNAcentral
UCCGGUUUGACACCGGCAGUCCCCUUAGAGUCCCCGACUUUACUCGCUGGUAACUAAGGGCAAAGGUUUCGCUCGUUAAGGGACUUAACCCGACAUCUCACGACACGAGCUGACGACAGCCAUGCAGCACCUGUACCAGUUGUACCCCGAAGGGCCUACUCCGCUUUCACGGAGAUAAUCCUGGCAUGUCAAGCCCAGGUAAGGUUCCUCGCUUAUCGUCGAAUUAAACCACAUGCUCCACCGCUUGUGCGGGUCCCCGUCAAUUCCUUUGAGUUUUAGCCUUGCGGCCGUACUCCCCAGGCGGGGUGCUUAAUGCGUUAGCUUCGGCACGGAAGGGGUCGAUAUCCCCCCACACCUAGCACCCAUCGUUUACGGCUGGGACUAC